Long non-coding RNA from Magallana angulata, 470 nucleotides. RefSeq lists it as uncharacterized. The transcript is spliced from 3 exons. Lineage: Eukaryota; Metazoa; Mollusca; Bivalvia; Ostreida; Ostreidae. The record is from RefSeq and is a predicted model, not a curated record.
UAAAAAACAAUUAACAUGAUUAUAUUGUUUCUAUGUUUUGUCGAUGUUUUAUCAUAUCAAUUUUUUAAACCGACACUGAAAUCCACACACAAGGAGUGUAUAUCUUCUUCCUAGUAACAACAACUCCUGAUAACUGUUGCAAUGACGAAAUUAUCCGGCAUAUCUGUGCUCAGUUUGUAAGAGUUCCAACAGGCCUCUCUGUGAAUCAGAAGAUGGCCACGCGGUAUUGAGAAUAUGACGAAAAUAUUAAAAGCUGUGAACAACAAAGAGGACGACAAUAACAACAACAAUUUACAUCCAAACGUCAACAACAACAACGAAAAACAACAAUGACAAUUACAGACGCCAUAGUAACGACAGGUUUCAAAAGCAGACGGGACUGAUAUCUAUAGGGUCCAUUAAUCGAUUGGUCGAAACCUACAGCGGACUGAAAUCUACACAACCUAUUUUUCGAUUGGUCAAAACCUACA